GUAGAGAAGAAGCAGCAGGUUGGCCAGGAAAAACAGACUUCAACUAAGAAGAGAGAGAAGGAAUUAAUAGCAGGAUGGUUAGAAAGCUGUCAUCAACUACCAGUGGAACCAGGUGAAAGGAAGAAGCUGGACUGGGUGUAUGACUUAUGCUGGUGUGAUCGACGUUCUCUAUAAUUCUUUCAGGUUGAAAGCAGUCAACCAUGUUUCAUGAGCCCAGUCUCUGAUGGCUGAGUAUGCACAAGAGGCUAUCUACUCAUUACUCAUCUUUAAUUACUAAAUUCAGAAAUUCAACAAGUAACCAAGUACAUGUAUGGCUGAAGGAAAAGAAUAACUUGUUUUAUAAAUUUUUCUCUCUGCUAUCAACAUUGUGACACUGGAAAGAUGUUAUUAUGGGAAUAUACCACUAUGGAGUAGAGUGAAAGAAGAUUCCUCUUAUAAAUGCUGAAUUAGAAAGGCAGAAAGGAAUGAUUCGCACAAAUGAAGAAUAGGUUUUAAAAUAUUUGUCACUGGCCCUUCUUGAGCCAUACUAGACUUUCUUCACAUUCUUCCAAUUCUCUUCUAAAUUACAUAAUCAGAUCUGUCUAACACAAUGAAUAUUAUUUUAGCAUAUCAUCAGUGAUCUCAAGAUCAUAAACUUCAUAGUCAGGAGAAUCAUUAGUGCUAACCAAGGAUCAAUCAGUUCCCCUUUGGACUCCAAAUCUAAAACACACAUCUAGGUUCUAGAGGACACUGUGCAUUCUACCCCAGAUCAAGAGAUUUCAAAAUACUGGUAACUUAUUAGUUAAGUCUUCAUCUAGUAUUAUACUCUUCAGUAUGUCAAUGUAGAAAAUUGUUGGUGAUCCUGACUAUGCUAUUAGAGAUGACACUAGCAAUAUGUGACUAUUUACAUUAAAUAAAUUUUAUUCUAAAAUGUAUUCUAGGGGAGCCUGGUGGCUCAGUGGUUUAAAGCCUCUGCCUUCAGCUCAGGUCACAAUCCCAGGGUCCUGGGAUCAAGCCCUGCAUCGGGCUCUCUGCUCAGCAGGGAACCUCCUUCCUCCUCUCUCUGCCUGCCUCUCUGCCUAUUUGCGAUCUUUGUCUGUCAAAUAAAUAAAUAAAAUCUUUAAAAAUUUUUAAAAAAUAAGAUGUAUUCUAAAAUUUAAAAUCCAGUUCCUUAAAGAUAAAUAAAUAAGAUAAAUAAAAUUCAAUUCCUCAAUUGCACUAGCCAUGUAUCUAGUGUUCAGUAGCCACAAAUGACUAACAACUAUACAGGGUAUCUCAGAUACUGAACAUUUCCAUCUUCACAGAGGAAUUAAAGCUAGAAAUCAAAAAAUAUAUAUAUUUUAAACUACUAUUUGUCUAAGAAUAAAUCACACUGAUGGUCAAAAUAUUUUAAAAUAUAUGAAUACUAACCAUUGCAUAUGACCUAUCAAAGCUUAGGAAUAGAGCUAAACAAAGGAAACCAUAGUCUUAAAGAAGUACUACAGAAGAAUAUAAAUGAGUAAAGUCCAGAAAAGUAU
This is a long non-coding RNA of Mustela lutreola (European mink), 1496 nucleotides long. RefSeq lists it as uncharacterized. The record is from RefSeq and is a predicted model, not a curated record. NCBI's taxonomy places the organism in Eukaryota, Metazoa, Chordata, Mammalia, Carnivora, Mustelidae. The transcript is spliced from 5 exons.